AGGUUGGAUUAAAACUUUAUACAAAAAUUAAAGUGCAACUUGAAUUAAUGAACAAUAAUGGCAGACAGAAUUUUGUACAAGAACCUACCUUUUUCAGGAGGCUUGGAGGAAGAGUGGACAUCAGAUGCAUCCCAGGAGUUUAACUUAAAACCUGCCUCGCAGAAAAGGCAGAAGUGAGCAGAAAUGUUCUAGUUGGGUCUCCAAGCCCAUGGGAGAUGGAAAGCAGAAGAGAGGAGUUUUUAAAGAUGCACAGAACAACAGCAAGAAAUGAAAGAUCCAGCCUGACCAUCAGAGGAAUAGUAGAAAAAGCAGCUCAAAAACACCAUGAUCCUUACUCACUUCUGAGGUUGUCAGUGAGUCCCAGGAACCAAGAAAAGCUUUUGGAAGCUCACCAGCCCUUCCCAGGAAUACUUUUGAAAGACAAAACAAGUUCCUUUGCAAAAGAUGUAUUUUAUGGAAAGAAGAUAAGAUUCUUGACAAUCAACAGCAGGACCUUAUUAAAGCAAGGACAAAAGUUUAUUUUAAAACUUUAAACUGGAGGAAGAGCAGGAGCACAGAACAAGAGUCACUUCC
This is a long non-coding RNA of Hippopotamus amphibius kiboko, 573 nucleotides long. RefSeq lists it as uncharacterized. NCBI's taxonomy places the organism in Eukaryota, Metazoa, Chordata, Mammalia, Artiodactyla, Hippopotamidae. The record is from RefSeq and is a predicted model, not a curated record. The transcript has 4 exons.